RNAcentral lists this ribosomal RNA (546 nucleotides) under Marinovum algicola. Its description in RNAcentral is "bacterial SSU rRNA". It matches the Rfam family "Bacterial small subunit ribosomal RNA", at positions 55 to 647 of the family's 1533-position model. The record is from RNAcentral. Lineage: Bacteria; Pseudomonadati; Pseudomonadota; Alphaproteobacteria; Rhodobacterales; Roseobacteraceae.
AUGCAGUCGAGCGAGCUCUUCGGACCUAGCGGCGGACGGGUUAGUAACGCGUGGGAACGUGCCCUUCACUGCGGAAUAGCCACUGGAAACGGUGAUUAAUACCGCAUACGCCCUUCGGGGGAAAGAUUUUUCGGGAAAGGACCGGCCCGCUUUAAAUAAGAUAGUUGUGGGGGUAACGGCCUACCAGGUCUACUAUCUAUAGCUGGUUUUAUAGGAUGAUCAUCAACACUGGGACUGAGACACGGCCAAAACCCCUACGGGAGGCAGCAGUGGGGAAUCUUGGACAUGGGGGGCACGCCUGAUCCAACCAUGCCACGUGAGUGAUAAAGGCCUUAGGGUCGUAAAGCUUUUUCGCCAAAGAUGAUAUGGACUGUAUCUGGUAAAGAAACCCGGGCUAACUCCGUGCCAUCACCCGCGGUAAUAGGAAUGGGGUUAUCGUUGUCCGGAAUUACUGGGCGUAAAGCCCACGUAGGCCGAUCGGAAGGUGGGGGGGUGAAAUCCCGGGGCUCAUCCCCGGAACUGCCUCCAAAACUUCUGGUCUUGAUU